This 774-nucleotide ribosomal RNA is filed under the name uncultured Acidobacteriota bacterium. RNAcentral describes it as "bacterial SSU rRNA". It matches the Rfam family "Bacterial small subunit ribosomal RNA", at positions 8 to 796 of the family's 1533-position model. Lineage: Bacteria; Pseudomonadati; Acidobacteriota. The record is from RNAcentral.
AGAGUUUGAUCAUGGCUCAGAAUCAACGCUGGCGGCGUGCCUCAGACAUGCAAGUCGAACGAUUAAACUCUUCUUCGGAAGAGAUAUAAAGUGGCGCACGGGUGAGUAACACGUAGGUAAUGUACCUUUGGGUGGGGAAUAACUUAGGGAAACUUAAGCUAAUACCGCAUAAUGCAGCGGCUCCUUCGGGAGACAGUUGUUAAAGAUUUAUCGCCUAAAGAGCAGCCUGCGGCAGAUUAGCUAGUUGGUAAGGUAACGGCUUACCAAGGCUACGAUCUGUAUCCGACCUGAGAGGGUGGUCGGACACACUGACACUGAAUAACGGGUCAGACUCCUACGGGAGGCAGCAGUCGGGAAUUUUGGGCAAUGGGCGAAAGCCUGACCCAGCAACGCCGCGUGAAGGAUGAAGUCUUUCGGGAUGUAAACUUCGUAAGAAUAGGAAGAAUAAAUGACGGUACUAUUUGUAAGGUCCGGCUAACUACGUGCCAGCAGCCGCGGUAAUACGUAGGGACCAAGCGUUGUUCGGAUUUACUGGGCGUAAAGGGCGCGUAGGCGGCAAUUCAAGUCAGUUGUGAAAUCUCCGAGCUUAACUCGGAACGGUCAACUGAUACUGCUUUGCUAGAGUACAGAAGGGGCAAUCGGAAUUCUUGGUGUAGCGGUGAAAUGCGUAGAUAUCAAGAGGAACACCAGAGGCGAAGGCGAAUUGCUGGGCUGACACUGACGCUGAGAUACGAAAGCUAGGGGAGCAAACAGGAUUAGAUACCCCGGUAGUCC